Molecule: long non-coding RNA, 2086 nt
Organism: Gorilla gorilla gorilla (western lowland gorilla)
Lineage: Eukaryota; Metazoa; Chordata; Mammalia; Primates; Hominidae
Exons: 5
Source: RefSeq, a predicted model, not a curated record
AUUGAGCUGUUGGGAGAGUUGUUGCAGGCUCUCGGUUAAUGACAAGGUCCUAAGGGCAGAGACACAGGCGUCAGGGGUGCAGGUGGCUCAAUGGGAAAGAAGGUGUUAGACAGUGGCCUCCCUGACUCCCUCAGCCUAGAGACUGCUGCCCUGAUAAGAGACACUCACUUGCUUUCAUCCAUGAGAUUGGGGCUAGCAUGAUGAUUCUGUGUGGGAAGAAACAUAUGAGAUGGUCAUUCAAUUUCUGUAAGAAUCACCGAGAACAGGUGAGCCAAGUUCCCAAGCUCAUUCCAACAAUAUUCUAUCUCCCCAAACCUCAAGGAAAAGCCCAGUCUCAGCCUUCCCCCAGCCCAGUCCCCAGGAAGGGCACCUGGCCCUAGGGAACAAACUACUUGUGAAAAGAGAAGAUAAUCCAUAGUAGGUACAGGAGGGCAGUGGGCAGAGGAGGAGGAGGCAUGAACCUGAGGUGCCGCUAUGCUAGCAAGACUGGCACCAGGGCAAGGGACACCACCAGGUAACACUGUGUCAUUGGCAGGUGGCUAGACAGACGCAGCAUUGUCUUUGGCGUCUGUCACAGAACAAAGCAGGGCAUCAGGGGGCCAUGCAGGAGAGAAGGUGCCUCAGUGGCAUGGACACAAGAGUGUGGAACAGGUAUGACAGAUGCUUACGCAAUGACAGUGACAGUCACGCAUGCUUGGAGCCACUCGGGGGUGUGGAUAUGGUUUGCCCAGGCCUUGGGCUGCUAGGCAGCAUUUUGAAUGGCCAAAGCUCAAAGCAGGGGCUGCACGGCCUCCUUCAUGAAUACAUGAGGACCUCGCUCCCCCUGGAGUUCAGCAAAAGACAGCAGCAGGUUCUGACCUGUGGCAGCCACAGCAGGCUGGAGGAAGGUGUACCAAAGUCAGGGAAGAGAAAGGCACUGUUCUUCCAGAACGCCAGUCUGUGCCACAGAGUGACCCUAACUGGGCCCCUCCUGGGCAGAGGACAGUGAUGAGGAAGUAGUAGUCUGGGCAAUGUACAAUGUAGCUGCCUCUCUCUUCUCCCUUCCCUUCUCCCUUGCAGUGGCAUAAUCAGCAGGGGCUACCAUCUCCUACAGCUCGCCCAGCUUCUCCUGCAGCUCCUCCUUGACAUGCUGCUCAGACUAAAGUGCGUUGUUGAUCUCCAUAUUCUCACUGUUCUGGACAGAGAGAAGCAAUCACGCCACCCACUGCAGCUGGAGACCGCAGAACUUGGUGUCUGCCUCCCAUGGCGCCGGGAAGGAUGGAGGCAGAUAAGAAAAAUGAUCCCCUCUCCCCCAUAGCCAUCAAACCAGGGCUCUGGCUCACAGGUCCCUUCAGAAGUGCCACUUCACAUGAGGGCUACACUGCCCCACUUAACAGAUGUGAAAAAGGAGGCCCAAAGAGAACUCAAGCAAUUUGCCCUAAAUCAUAUCCCUAGCAGAUGGAGAGGUAGGAUUCGAACCCAGAAUUCUUAACCAGUACCCGACAGUUCUUCCACAAUCUUAACAAUUACCCUCUACUGCCCUUUGGGCCCCCUGCCCUCAGGAGCCUGGUCAGCCAAGACUCACAUUCCCAGAAAUUCUACUUCUAUGAAUUCAGUCAUAAAAUGCUUGCUCGAGUCCAUUAAAAUGUAUAUAUGAGGAAAUUCACCUCUGGGGUGGCAAUGAUUAACUUAAUAUACAUCCAGCUAUUAAAAAUGAUGAUGCCAGGAUAUAUUUACUGCCAUAGAAGCAAGCCCAAAAUAUAGAGUGUUUGGUAAACUUCACCAUGUCUAUAUCUCUGUGUCUUUGCACCUGCUGGUCUCUGCUUGGAAUGAUGUCUCAAGGUUUUAUUCACCUGGAAAGAAUUCCUACUCACCCUUAAAGACUCAGCUUAAAUAACCCCUUCUCUGCUCUCAUACAAAGAUGACCCAAGGACAGAGGCAGCAGAGGGCAGUGCAGGGUAGUGCAAGAAGCUCUGGCUCUGGGACUAAUUGGACGAGGUCUGAAUCUUAACUCUGGCACCUGUUAGUGAAGCAGCCUCAAGCAAAUCACUUAAUGCUUCUGUACUUCCUUUAUUGUUUUGUAAAUAAAGAAAAUUCAAUCUACCAA